AUCAUAGUACAAGUCUAAUGUGCAAUGAGAUACAUUUGAAAGGUGCAGGAGGCCCCACAGCAUCCUUCCUUGGGUUUUUGUCUCCAGUCUAUAGUCCCUUGGACUUAUUUUUUUUAUAGGAUUAUCAAAAGUGCAGUUGUGGCAUUAUAAUUUGUUGCUUUUGUGUCCUUUAGUUGUGGUAAAAAAUAAAACCAGAUAUAAAUAAUAACAAAGAAAAAGCUUUCAGGAAAUAUAUGAAUUAUAUCUGUUAUAUAAUAUGGAGUUUCCAUAAUUCUAUCCUGUAUUAGUAAGAGUUUGCUGUGGGAAUAGGAAUCACAGUGGACAGCCCUUACCACCAGGGCUGUCCUUCUGCAUGAUUUAUUGCAAAAGCGGUUGCAUAGGAGAGUAGAUUUUGCCCAAUGGGCAGACUCAUCAGUGACCAAACUUGUUUUUCCCCAGUGAUUGCAAAAGGACAGAUUUAGUACCAGGCAUAUUUAUUUCAGUGUCCAACUGAAUCAAAUGAGUGUCUUGCACCAUUCUUUUCAAAGACAUCUUAGCAAUGGUCUGAAAACCAAUUCACAGUGUUUAAUAGUGUGCCUGAGUAUUUUCUGUAAUACAGUUUGACCCAUGCAUGAAUUUCUGUUUACUUUGCACUACUCUGUUUGCUACUUUGGAAGAAAAGUGGUCAACGCUACUUAAAUGAUGUUUCUCAAAUAGUGUAACUGGUGUGCUAAUUCAGGCAUGCCUACUUUGUCUCACUUGUGUUAUGGACAAUUUAACUCUAAUUAUAACUAAAUUCCAGGGUUGGUUUGGAACACUUAUUAUACACGUGUCACUUCAUUUAGAGAUACUCAUGUUUGUAUAUGUAUUCUCGUAUUAGAUAUAAAGAUUCUUGGGAACAUAUAUAUUUUUUUACAGAGCUUCGCGGAACACUUAUCGUGAUCAUUGCUGUCAUUCAUAAACAUUUGUGCAAUGACUGCUUGUCUAUGGUUUAGUAAACAGUACUAUGAAAAAUGGGAUAGUUUAGCUGCUAUAUUGAUGAAAAUUGAAGCUGAUGAAAAUUGAAGACCUGGAUAACUCUUUCUCAGCAAAGGCUAUUUACUGCCUGGGCUAUGAUACUACUGUGUACGUACCAGGUAUUUAAUAUGUUCUUAGUAAAAUGAUAAGAGUACAUUUAUUCUGUGGUAGAAAUGGUGGAUUGUCUCUUGGUAUUGAUUCCAAGCCCCUCUUGAGUAUAUUUUUUCAUCUGGAAAAUGCUAUAAAGUUAGAAAACAGCCUGUGACUUCCUUGGAGAUAAGGUGGUGAAUAGCCAUGGUAGUGUUUUGUUGCUUUGUUCUUAGCAUGGAACCAAGUCCCGGGGCCCAGUUACUAGCUGUGUGAGUGUCAUGAGGCAGGGUGUUGGGUUUCAGUUGUGCUGGUGAAGAACAUAGCAGGCCCUGUAUGAUUUGGAAGCAGACAACAGUAGCAGCUGGGUUAGCAGCUUCCUGACUGAGUAGCACCUGGAUCAUAUUGAUUUCAUGAUCCAGAUGCCUUCCUUUUAGAGUUUAUUUCCUAAUUGUGGUGAAGCACUGCACUUACGGAACUGGCAGCAUUCCACAGUGGCAGGUAGCUAAUCACAGAAGAGGUUGUGGUUCUUCUGGUGGCCCAGCUCUGUGGUGUGGCUUGGGAACUAUUUCUGAAAGCUCAGCUUUAUAUGUCUUUCUUAAGUCUUGCCUGGUGAUUUUAUAAGUCAUUUAAUUAUCUGUAUAACAUGUUUUUCUUCUGGAAAUAGCUAGGGAGAUUCUGUCCUCUUUAACUUUACAAUGACCUUUAUCCCACUGGGCCAUGGGACUUUCUCCAAAAUUGUCCAGGGUCAAUUCAUUCGCCAUUAUAUUAUUUUGUGAAAAAUUGUGGAAGUACCACUAGAAAUAAUCACAAACAUAAUUGGGUCUUUUUUUCUAGCCCAUUGCAGAAUGUUUACACAUACCUCAUAUUUUCCCCGUAAUUGAUGAGUCACAGUAAUAUCCCCAGGCCCAUUAACUUGACUUAUAAAAUGUCCCUUGAACUGUACUUUGAAGCCCUACAAAAUUGAGCUGUUUGAGCUAGAAAAGCAGAAGCAGGCAAAAGUACAGAAUCUCCACAGGAAAUGUUUUGCCUCCAGGGUCCUGUCAUUCAAACUAGGCAUUGAAAAUACCAAUAUUCUAGCGGAUGUCUAAGGCUGCUUAUUUCUGUGGGUUAAGGCACAAUGCUAAUCAGAGGCCAAACGGGUGAGUGCUGUCUCCAGGUGAGCCAUUUAGUUUCACUCUCUUUUAUUGCCUCAGCCUUCACUCUUUUGCAGGACUUUUUUGCCCUGCUUUUUCAUACUGCCCACCUUUGAGACGAGGGAGAGAGGAAGGUGGCAAAAAAAUACUUUCUCAAGAUGCUUUAGUGAUGAUGGGUCAGUAGCAUUACUUUCAUACUCAAGGGACUGUACUUUCCACUUAGACUCCAGAGAGAGGAGACAAAUGCUAUCUGUUCAGGAAUUGUGAGCCUUGCUAACCUGGACAGGCAGGCAAAAGAGGAAGUUCCCUAUCUUGCCUUGGGAGAGAAUUUUUAUCCUCAGUGAAAAUGGCAUGUAUUGAUUAAGGUGAAAGAGUGAUAGAAAAAUUUUGACCAUAUAAGAGAAUUUAAUUCACAACAGAAUAGGAGUUUAAAAAGGAAAAAAGGAUUGGUUGGAGCAAAGAUGGCUGAGGGAAAGAGAGACUAUACCACUUAAUACAGAUUCCUUUCAAAUGGUGAUUUAAACACACAAAGGUUUGAUCUCUCAUCAUCAUNAGAGAAGUCUGGAAAUAGGCAGUCUGGGGCUGGCAUGGCAAUUCUAGAGCAUCAUCAUGAGCCCAAUUUCCUUCUUUUUCUGUUAUCUAUUUUCUAAACGCAUGGCUUCCAUUCUCAAAGUCAACUCAGGAUCCAAAGUAGCUGCUGGAGUUCUAGACAUCAUUUCCACCUUCCAGCUAGCAGGAAGGGUAGAAAGCUUCUCCUUCUCAGAGGCUCAUAUGGUAUUUCCUCUUGCACCUAGUCGGCCAGAAUUUAGUCGCAUGACCUCACUUAGCUGCAAGAGAGGCUGGGGAAUUGAGUCUUGUGGUCAAGCAGUAAUAUACUAGCUAAAAACUGGAAUUCUGUUACUAAGGAAGAAGAAGAAAGUGGACAUUUGGAAGGCAAGUCCUGAUCUCUACCACAGAGGCUUGAGCCAGACAGAGCUCAGAUACUAUGCUGUUGUUGACUGUGGCUGUUUGGCUUUGAGCAAAGGCCCUUUUCUCUCCCACUGCAAAUGGAGUUUUUAACCUUUACUUCAGGGUCAUCCAAGAAGCUGAGACGGUUUUUAGCGAAGACUGCCCAGAAUGGUCUAGUGCACACACAGCCAUGUGAGACGGGCAGUGGCACCUUAGAUCCUUUUGUCUGCCUGUUGUAGAGUUGAAUUGGUUGAAAAUAAUAAGUAUAGAUGGGAUUUUUUUUGGCACACUGCCUAUGACCCUAGUCUGAUUAAUGCCCUCAGACAAAUGCUUUCAGGGGCUGCAGUUCUGGAAAGAUUCUAAGAGGAAUCAGAGCAGGAAGCUUUUUGAGGUCAUAGUCAUGGGCAAGUAUAUCAAGAUGUUUUUAGAACCAUAGAAUCUCAAACCUGAAUGAAGACAAAAAGCCUAAAUUAUGAUGUAUUCUUUGUUUCAAAUAGUUUAAGAAAAAAGACCAACUUUUGAAAAUUAGUUUGUUUCAUAUAUAUUUGAAGAAAUGAGGCCAUUUGGCAACAUCCAUCCUGCAUUCCUUCAUGGUGACAAUCCUUAGCAAUUCCUGGGGCCAAAGGGUAAUGGCCCUCAUUAGAUGGGGCCAUCCAUCCAACCAUAUAGUUUUUAUAUCUUAUGUCUGCCCCACUUUUUUACUCAUUCUUGUGACCUACUGGGAACCAGUAAGCAUCUAUGCUUAUACCCCUUGCCAGGGAUGGCUUAGGAGGUAGACUAUGCCUGGGACUGAGCUCAGGGGUUGGGUAUUGCUGGUCUCAGUCACUGUCUGAAUGGGAGGCAUGAGUAGAGGAUUCUUGGCUUGGAGAGAUGGGGCAGGAUAUAAGUGGAAGCUGGGGUUCUACAAAGAAAGGGCCUGACCAGGUGGGCCCAAAGGCUCACCCAUAAUGUGGACUUGAGGAGGGAUUCACCUGUGGGAAGAACAGACACAUCUCUGCACUUCAGGGUAACUGCUCUCAGGAUCUGACUGGAUGGGUUUGAACCAAAGUCAUGGUUUACAAAGCUAGAGCCAGGAUGUGACUGUGGAUUGUAGCCAGGUUUUUCCAUUACAGGUGGAGUGAGCUCCCAGGGUGCUUUAAGUGAUAACUAGCCAGUGUAAUAAACAGAUGGUUCCUUACCAUCUCCAGGAAUGAUUUUGUAACCUACUGUGGAGGCUUAUCUGAGUGGUUCACAACCUAACCCCACCUUCCAACUGGCUGGCAAUCUGUUCGUUGAUAUCCUUAUCUGAAUGUCUGUGGGAGCAUAAAAUUUUUUUAAAAAGGGAUAUGCACAACUGCUUCCCAAGCCACCCUUUCCCCAACAUAGUGCUAUACAGUCUUGUGUAUUUUCCUAAAAUUUUACUUGGAAGCCACUUUAACGUACAAAAAAUAAAGAAGAAAGAACCCUCAAAAAGCUGUAGGGUUCCAAUAUUUCUUAUUUAUGAAAAGAGACAUCAGGAUCCUUCAAACAAUGCUGUACUGAAUGAUUUGAGGAAACAAUGUUGUCAUCAUUUGAAGCUUUUGUUUAGAGACCACGUUGAUAAAUUUCAGAAGGCACUCGCUUGUCUUCUCCCAGCUGUAGUCAGUCAUGCGAUUGGUAUUUGCAUCCUUGGACUUUGGCUUGAAAUGAAAUCUUUUAGCUCUGCUUUAGAUAGUAAAUGUCAACAGUUUAAAGUGGCAUGAUGCUGAUCUCUAAAUCUGCCCUACAGCUGAAUGCUGCAAAUAGGAAGAAAGGAAAAGAAAAACUAUUCGCUACCUUGUGAAACACGUGUGAUUUUCAAUUUGAUUCUCCUUAGAUGUGAGAUCUGUAAUUGUGAGUUCUAAUUUUAUUCAUUCUGACUGGGAAAGCCUCAACAUUUUAAUUAGCACUGGUGACAGAAAUUACAUCAGUUUUAUUUCAGUUCUUUGAGUUUUCAUUUUCCUUAGCUGUAUUCAACUGAAAUGAAAACAUCCAGGCAAGGGUUCCCUCACCUUAAUUAAGGUUAAUUUUUCUAGCACUUGAAAUCAGAUGCAUUCAGUGGCUGAGACACACUGUGUUGGGCCACAACCUGUUUGUGAGAAAAAUAACAAUUUGCUUUUCACUCAGUGUUCCCACUAGUAUUUAUCCUGGCUGUAUCCUAAUGAAUUCAACUUUUUCCUGUUGUGCUGUGCUCCAGUCCACACCCUACCCACUUAAUUUUAAAUUUACUUUGCAGUAUUAGGUUUUAUUUUAUUAAUUCCCACAUAGUUUGGAAAACUGUUCCCUUAAAGAUACCCUUUCAUGUCUCUGUUACAAUUAAUGCCACUUGGAACAUUUUUUCUAAUGGUUUCUAAAUUUGAAUCUUAGCAAAAUUGAAUUAGAGAUUGUGUUUUCAGAGCACAGUCAUGUAUAGGAUUUCUUUCCAGGUCUUAUCUAAUAUUAGGACAAUAAGGCUGAGAUUUACAUUGUCUAUUUCAUAUUUUUUAUGUCUUUAAAAUGUCAGUUAUAAAACAGACAAGCUGGAGGAAAAAAAAGAAAAA
Molecule: long non-coding RNA, 5704 nt
Filed under: Sus scrofa (pig)
Lineage: Eukaryota; Metazoa; Chordata; Mammalia; Artiodactyla; Suidae
Description: lncRNA (ENSSSCG00040057785.1)
Source: RNAcentral